RNAcentral lists this transfer RNA (73 nucleotides) under bacterium. RNAcentral describes it as "tRNA-Lys". It matches the Rfam family "tRNA". Rfam says of the family: Transfer RNA (tRNA) molecules are approximately 80 nucleotides in length. Their secondary structure includes four short double-helical elements and three loops (D, anti-codon, and T loops). The record is from RNAcentral. RNAcentral also lists the same sequence under 2 other names.
GCGCCAUUAGCUCAGUUGGUAGAGCAGCUGACUCUUAAUCAGCGGGUCCAAGGUUCGAGUCCUUGAUGGCGUA